CGUAGUCAAGCUAAAUCAACCAGGCAACUCAGUGCUGAAUUUUAAAAGCGAAGCUGUCAACAUUAUAUAUCAAAAACAGCGUAAUUUAAUUUAAGUUUAUUCCGAGUUCCCGAUUAUUCCAAUCAGAUCCGGAUACCGAUUCGUGUUCACUGAAAAUAAUAAUAAAAAUCAUAUAAUAAGGCACAGUGAAUCACUCCCAGGUCAAGUUGAUAGUGCCUCCCAACACGCUCUUCAGUUUCACUAUCUUCCCACUGGUACAUGGAAAAAAACACUUCACAACCGUUCCAAAUCAAGAAAGUAUGAAGAUAGUGCGUCAUACGAAUGUAUUACUGGGAAGAGCGCCUACAAUUCCAACCGCCUUCAUAAAUCAAACCAGCAAUUACAAUGGAGGAUUACCAUUAAGGUCGAUCGGUGCUGAUAUGAAUGACUGCAUGAAAUAUAAGAAUUGUUCUCUUAGUAUUCCGAGAGCCACUUUUUGGCGAUCAUUAAACUAAGAACGCAAAAUUGGCAAUCCAAUGCAGAAAAGAUCUUCUGAGCAACAAAUCAAUUAUGAUGAUCGGUAGUGCCGGCCAAUUUCCACCUUCUCGAAGUGCACCUUAUUUGGUUACAUUGCGAACCCCAAGUCAGUGCGUCGAAUACUAAUGAUUUUCAGUGAAUGAAGCAGUCUUGAGUUAGAUAAGAACGUGCCAAUGACCUUAGAAUGCACAAUCUAGACACGUUUUUUGCUCUCUUUGGAAUGCAAUCUAUCUGCAACCAGUUGACCAGUUAACGCUGGAAGCAAAAUUAUCACGUAAUAAAUACAAAUAUUUGUAAACUU
Hermetia illucens (black soldier fly) is the source of this 817-nucleotide long non-coding RNA. RefSeq lists it as uncharacterized. The transcript has 2 exons. NCBI's taxonomy places the organism in Eukaryota, Metazoa, Arthropoda, Insecta, Diptera, Stratiomyidae. The record is from RefSeq and is a predicted model, not a curated record.